Long non-coding RNA from Mauremys reevesii (Reeves's turtle), 892 nucleotides. RefSeq lists it as uncharacterized. NCBI's taxonomy places the organism in Eukaryota, Metazoa, Chordata, Testudines, Geoemydidae. The transcript has 5 exons. The record is from RefSeq and is a predicted model, not a curated record.
GCUUUUGCUUGGAUUUCACACCUUUGACCACUUGCAAGAUUCCUUGCAGCGCUAAAGGGGUGCGUCACAGGACACAACGUGAAGGGGCACCAAUAUGGCAGAUAUAUGCUGUGUGUCAUGACACUUUAUGGAACAAAAUGAAGCUGAGAGUUAAAGGACAUUGUCAUGGAGUUAACAGAGUGAUCGCUCUUGAGUGACUUGAAGGCUUGACAAAGCUACAAAGUAAAGUGGCAAAAGAGAGAACCCUGGAGCUCCUGAACAGGAUCUAAGAGUUCAUCUCAAGAUUUGAAAUCAGAAGGCAACAUUGCUACUAUUGCAGCUCCUGGCCAUCUCCUGGUGCCUGCUUGGGUCUUGCAGUGAAAAUGAGGGCCUGAGUGUUGAGAUGUUGGCUGCCACCUUGCUAGAAUUGACUUGCUGUGAUCUGAGUCUACUAAUCUUAGGUGUGUAAAUCACUAUGGACUUCAAAAAGAAAGUGAAGGAAGAUAAUGUCGGAAAGGAUGCACUGACAUAACCAGGGGAACAGCAACAUUAUUUAUAGUCUCCAGAACUGUCUUAUGAAGCUCACUUGCUACAUACCAGAUAAUAUGGCAGAACCAACCUGUCACCUUACUGUUCCAUAAAGAAGAUUUGUCUAUAAUAGGAAGCAUUAAAACUGAGUAACAAGAAACUACUUGAGAAACUAAUGAAUUCAAUUUUGUUCUAAAUAUACCCUUAUUGGAAGGUAACAGAAUUCUGCUAUACAGUAUGACUUGUUUUGUACCUCAAACUGAAUGCAUCUGUUAAUAAGGAAUGUGAGAAGUUCAGCCUUCUUGGAAUAUUUUACUGGACUUGCAUGUUGUGAAUAAAUGUUCUUACCUGGUGCAAAGCUUUAAGCAAUACAUAAUAAAAUGAG